RNAcentral lists this ribosomal RNA (452 nucleotides) under Campylobacter sp. canine oral taxon 011. Its description in RNAcentral is "bacterial SSU rRNA". It matches the Rfam family "Bacterial small subunit ribosomal RNA", at positions 9 to 457 of the family's 1533-position model. The record is from RNAcentral. Lineage: Bacteria; Pseudomonadati; Campylobacterota; Epsilonproteobacteria; Campylobacterales; Campylobacteraceae.
GAGUUUGAUCAUGGCUCAGAGUGAACGCUGGCGGCGUGCCUAAUACAUGCAAGUCGAACGGAGAUUAAAGUAAGCUUGCUUACUUUAAUCUUAGUGGCGCACGGGUGAGUAAUGUAUAGCUAAUCUGCCCUACACUAGAGGACAACAGUUGGAAACGACUGCUAAUACUCUAUACUCCUUCUUGACAUAAGUUAAGUAGGGAAAGUUUUUCGGUGUAGGAUGAGGCUAUAUCGUAUCAGCUAGUUGGUGAGGUAAUGGCUCACCAAGGCUAUGACGCGUAACUGGUCUGAGAGGAUGAUCAGUCACACUGGAACUGAGACACGGUCCAGACUCCUACGGGAGGCAGCAGUAGGGAAUAUUGCUCAAUGGGGGAAACCCUGAAGCAGCAACGCCGCGUGGAGGAUGACACUUUUCGGAGCGUAAACUCCUUUUCUUGGGAAAGAAUUAUGACG